CGGUCCAGCGGCCGCGCCUCCUUCCUUUCCUUCCUCGCCCGCCGCCGGCCAGGGCUGCUGCGCCCGGGUCUCCCAGCUAUCCGGCAUGGCAGCGCCCGGAGCUGCCGCCACGUGUGGGGAGAAGCUGGGUAUGUGACCCCGGACAGGGAAGAUAAUGAAAAUCUGAAAAGGGCAAGAAAAGCAAGCAUGCAAAAUCAGAAACUUGCUUCUUGCUCUGAGAGGGUAUCAUAACUGGUCUGCAGCUUAUGCAUCCAUAAGGGAAACAAUGUAAACCAAGAGUCUCAGCGGAGCAAAGAGCUUUCUGCAAAAUGAAGACUUGACAGUUACAGAUAAAAGCUUCUCAGUUGGACUGAUCAUUGCAGGAGUGAGGCUAGUGGGGGCAGCAGUAGUUGCCUGAAGAGAAGAGAGGAACUGUUGCUAUUGCUUUAAAGAGUGACUGCCAAGAUAUUUAGAGAGGUGGGAAUGAGCAUGUGAGUAGUCCCAUGCCUUGAAUGGGACUGUUCCUGUGCAGAAGCGUUUGCAGGGUUGGAGUCUAGUAAGAUAAAACAUGAAAGGUGGGGAGAAGGAUGACAUGGAUUGUUGGUUUGCUCUCACCCUUUUUGUUAAAAUUGUACUUAAAAAUAAAUUCUAGGCUUAUUUUGUUCCA
Chelonoidis abingdonii (Abingdon island giant tortoise) is the source of this 646-nucleotide long non-coding RNA. RefSeq lists it as uncharacterized. The record is from RefSeq and is a predicted model, not a curated record. NCBI's taxonomy places the organism in Eukaryota, Metazoa, Chordata, Testudines, Testudinidae.